RNAcentral lists this non-coding RNA (21 nucleotides) under Arabidopsis thaliana (thale cress). Lineage: Eukaryota; Viridiplantae; Streptophyta; Magnoliopsida; Brassicales; Brassicaceae. The record is from RNAcentral.
AUGAGUUGUAAAGAGUAUCUC